UGGGGAAUAUUGCACAAUGGGCGCAAGCCUGAUGCAGCCAUGCCGCGUGUAUGAAGAAGGCCUUCGGGUUGUAAAGUACUUUCAGCGGGGAGGAAGGCGAUAAGGUUAAUAACCUUGUCGAUUGACGUUACCCGCAGAAGAAGCACCGGCUAACUCCGUGCCAGCAGCCGCGGUAAUACGGAGGGUGCAAGCGUUAAUCGGAAUUACUGGGCGUAAAGCGCACGCAGGCGGUCUGUCAAGUCGGAUGUGAAAUCCCCGGGCUCAACCUGGGAACUGCAUUUGAAACUGGCAGGCUAGAGUCUUGUAGAGGGAGGUAGAAUUCCAGGUGUAGCGGUGAAAUGCGUAGAGAUCUGGAGGAAUACCGGUGGCGAAGGCGGCCCCCUGGACAAAUACUGACGCUCAGGUGCGAAAGCGUGGGGAGCAAACA
RNAcentral lists this ribosomal RNA (427 nucleotides) under uncultured bacterium. Its description in RNAcentral is "partial 16S ribosomal RNA". It matches the Rfam family "Bacterial small subunit ribosomal RNA", at positions 355 to 774 of the family's 1533-position model. The record is from RNAcentral.